Molecule: ribosomal RNA, 253 nt
Filed under: uncultured bacterium
Lineage: Bacteria
Description: partial 16S ribosomal RNA
Rfam family: Bacterial small subunit ribosomal RNA
Source: RNAcentral
UACGUAGGGGGCAAACGUUGCUCGGAAUUACUGGGCGUAAAGGGUGCGUAGGUGGCUGAGCAAGUCGUGGAUGAAAUCCCGAGGCUUACCCUCGGAACUGUCUUCGAUACUGCUCAGCUUGAGGAUGGUUGAGGAGAACGGAAUUCCCGGUGGAGCGGUGAAAUGCGUAGAUAUCGGGAGGAACACCUGAGGCGAAGGCGGUUCUCUGGGCCAUUCCUGACACUGAGGCACGAAAGCUAGGGGAGCAAACGGG